AUGCACGCUAGCGGCAGGCCUAAUACAUGCAAGUCGAACGAGAUUAAGAGGCUUGCUUCUUAUGAAAGUGGCGCACGGGUGCGUAACGCGUAUGCAACCUACCUUAAUCAGGGGGAUAGCCCGAAGAAAUUCGGAUUAAGACCGCAUAAAAACACAGGAUAGCAUUAUCCAAUGUUCAAAUAUUUAUAGGAUUAAGAUGGGCAUGCGUGUCAUUAGCUAGUUGGCGGGGUAACGGCCCACCAAGGCGACGAUGACUAGGGGAUCUGAGAGGAUGACCCCCCACACUGGUACUGAGACACGGACCAGACUCCUACGGGAGGCAGCAGUAAGGAAUAUUGGUCAAUGGAGGGAACUCUGAACCAGCCAUGCCGCGUGCAGGAAGACAGCCCUCUGGGUCGUAAACUGCUUUUAUUCGGGAAUAAACCUUUCUACGUGUAGGAAGCUGAAUGUACCGAAGGAAUAAGGAUCGGCUAACUCCGUG
This 481-nucleotide ribosomal RNA is filed under the name uncultured bacterium. RNAcentral's name for it is "partial 16S ribosomal RNA". It matches the Rfam family "Bacterial small subunit ribosomal RNA", at positions 29 to 507 of the family's 1533-position model. The record is from RNAcentral.